GCCUCCGUAGCUGAGUUGGUUACAGCGUACGACUUUUAAUUACUGCCUCUUAAGUGUAGUUAGGGAUUCAUCGUAAGGUCACGGGUUCGAGCCCCGUCGGAGGCU
Cryptococcus amylolentus CBS 6039 is the source of this 105-nucleotide transfer RNA. It matches the Rfam family "tRNA". Rfam says of the family: Transfer RNA (tRNA) molecules are approximately 80 nucleotides in length. Their secondary structure includes four short double-helical elements and three loops (D, anti-codon, and T loops). Further hydrogen bonds mediate the characteristic L-shaped molecular structure. tRNAs have two regions of fundamental functional importance: the anti-codon, which is responsible for specific mRNA codon recognition, and the 3' end, to which the tRNAs corresponding amino acid is attached (by aminoacyl-tRNA synthetases). tRNAs cope with the degeneracy of the genetic code in two manners: having more than one tRNA (with a specific anti-codon) for a particular amino acid; and 'wobble' base-pairing, i.e. permitting non-standard base-pairing at the 3rd anti-codon position. NCBI's taxonomy places the organism in Eukaryota, Fungi, Basidiomycota, Tremellomycetes, Tremellales, Cryptococcaceae. The record is from Rfam.